Grus americana (Whooping crane) is the source of this 1390-nucleotide long non-coding RNA. RefSeq lists it as uncharacterized. Lineage: Eukaryota; Metazoa; Chordata; Aves; Gruiformes; Gruidae. The record is from RefSeq and is a predicted model, not a curated record. The transcript is spliced from 3 exons.
UUUAAAAUGUAGCUCUCAAACGCAUCUCUUGUUAAACUUACACAUAUACACAUAUGUCAAGUCAAGGCAAGAUAUUCAGAUUUUGCAAAGGAGUUUAAAGGGAGCGGGGGAUCUUCUGAAGUUAAAAUUGUUUAUCCCCAAAUAUAUUAGAUUGUUGUAAUAAUGCAGUUGUACGGAACACAAUUAUCAGAAGAAAAAGUCUUGCCAAGAGGUUGACGGUGUACAAAUGGGGAUAAAACAUUUAAGAUCCUGCUUAAUUACUCCGGCGAAGUGAAACGCUUUGAUUCUAUUUCCGCCUUUCCUCUAAUGAUUUUUUUCUCCCCAAAACUCUCCUUGCGAAUAGUACACCUGCAUUUCUGAGCAAAAAGUAGGCCACUCCGAAAACUGUCUGUCCAGGCAGUGGGAGAGUGGGAUCCGGAAUCCGGGUGCUCAGUGGGUCCGUGGCACCCCCUGAAGAGAAUUUGGCUUAAGACAGGACGCACUUGGUCCUCCUCUUCACUAGACAAAAUCGCUUCAAGUACAUCAUAAGAAUAAAAUGUAUUAUUUUUACCUUAGUAAUUCGAAUAACUUAAGGCAGAUUGCAGUUUUGCAGCUGGUACUUAAGCAAAACUGCCAUUAGGCGAGGGGACAUUUUUCUCGGGAGGAACUGAGUACGAUUUCAAAAACGAGGAUAGAAGGUUUGCUGUGUUCUUUUAAAAGCUGAUUUUUUUUUUUUUUUUUAAGUUUGAGUGGAGUGUUAUUACAAAAAUGUGCUUAAGUAACAAAACAAGAACUUCUGGACAUGCCUUGGCUGUGCACGUUUGACUCGAACUUUACAAAGCCGGGUAAGAUCCCGCUCCCACUGUGGUCAAAUACAAGAUGCUACUGGGUUCCGCCACGGCAAGAAGGGUCCUCGAACUGCUCCUGUUUACACAGAGAUGUGAUUCGGUCCGCUCCGUGCACACCUCUGGGGCACACCCGAACGCGGGAGGUCCGGCGUGUGCGCUGAGCCACGCGGGAUGCCCACGGCGGGAAGGACACUGCGACACCUCCGUGUUUUCUAUGUGAGUGAAGAAGGGGAAUAGUGAACCUGAUCGGCCUCAAAAACGAGAUGGGGGUUUCCCUGCUGAAAAGGUACCAACCGGCUCAUCCCGAUCGGAUGAACAACUGGACUUGCUGAAUACCGGGUGGGGGCGGUGAAAUUGUUUUAAGGAUUGGUUAACCCCUCAGGUGUAGUGAUCGUGGAUCUACGGCGGGGGACCAACCUGGAGGAGGCAGUCCCAUCCAGAGCAGACACCUGCGCAGGAUGAUGGAGACCUCGCCCCCCGCAGCCGGCACCCCACGGGCACCGUGGGGAGCCGCCGCCAGCACCACCCCCCCCCCCCCCCCCCGCCCGCUCCGUCACUGCCAG